CUUGUGUGACGUCUUUCUGAACUUCUUCGAUCGUCCGAGCUUCCAUAAUAUCAUCCAGACUUCUUCGAUAAUGAGCUCCUCCAUUCAUCUACCGGACUGCUCCGAACGCUCUUCGAGCCUCACUAUCAGCCAAUUUUUUAUAGUGUUCGACUAUUCUCUGAAUCUCUUUCGGACAUCUAUCGGCCACGAAUGACCUUACU
Molecule: long non-coding RNA, 200 nt
Filed under: Elaeis guineensis (African oil palm)
Lineage: Eukaryota; Viridiplantae; Streptophyta; Magnoliopsida; Arecales; Arecaceae
Description: long non-coding RNA (EGUI_LNC067362)
Source: RNAcentral